UAUGUUCAGCCGUACCAUUCAUGUUUCCCUUAGAACUUGUGUUUGCAACUCAAAACACCCAUACACAAAAGCUUCAGAUGAAACAGAACAUCAACCAUCAUCUUCUUACCCUCCUCCCCUCUUUGACCGACCGGCCGACCAACCCCCCCCCCCUUUUUCUCCCCGUUAAACAACAACAGCAGCACCACCACCAGUGGUGGCGGUGCUCAGCGGUGGCAAAGGACCAAGAGAGAGAUAGAGAGAGAGGGUGAAUGCGAGAGAGAGAGACGCAGAAGAAGACGACGGCAACGCCGUCAUCUACGUCGGCGGCAGAAGUCUUCCAACCCCGUGUCGGUUCGAUUUCGGUGGUUGUUUCGAGUCUUGUUUCGGGUCAGCUUAGUUCCGACAGUCCAGAUUUCGGGAUUUUGCACAGGUUCGGGUUGUUUCAGCUUUGGCUCUGGUUCGAGACUCGCAUCACAGCCGAUUCAGGUUCGGUUUCGUUCAGAUUUGGUUGAGUUUUGUCGGGUCAAGGCUGAUUAAAGAGUCAACACUAGUCCGUUUCGUGGUCGAGUCAACGACUUCGGUUUUGAGUCAGUCAACAUACAGUCAACCCCGGUCUGCAUGGUCAAACCUGGUCAACCUACGGUCAAACAAUCAGCGGGCCUUUCAGUUAAGCCUCGGUUCGGGUCACUCCAGUUUCGGCCUGGUCAACUCAGUCAAACUGAGGUCAAACUCAGUCAACUCACGGAUCGGGUGACCUCGGUGUUCCGUCCUCCUAUCUCAUCAACUCGUCAUACUUGGAUAAUCGGAAGAAAUUGCAAUAUUGUUGAUGAGGAUGAUGCUAAGAAAAGAAGUAGCGUUGAUGCCUAGAUACACAUAUAG
Helianthus annuus (common sunflower) is the source of this 861-nucleotide long non-coding RNA. RefSeq lists it as uncharacterized. The record is from RefSeq and is a predicted model, not a curated record. The transcript has 4 exons. NCBI's taxonomy places the organism in Eukaryota, Viridiplantae, Streptophyta, Magnoliopsida, Asterales, Asteraceae.